UUUUUAAUAUAGUUUUUCACGGCUCUGGGUGCAUGCCCUUUUAAGCCAGUCUUUGAAGUCCGUUGAACUUUUGUUUGAAUUUGACACAUGACAACUGUGUUUGACACUUCACUUCACUGAUUCACUGUGAUUCACUGAUAUUUACUUAGUUUUUACUCUUCUCAAUUUCUCAAAUAGUUCCCAGAGUUGAAACCACGAAAGUAUAUAUGGGUUUGAAAAGUUUCGGAUCCUUGAGGAGUUCGUCCAACGACUGUGGUACACGUUCACAAAUAGAUUGAAGGUCAUCGAUCAUGACCAGUCUCUGGAUUCCAAAACUUCUACAUUUCAGGAUUAUGUGCUCCAUAUCGGCAAGCUCUUCAUUGCAAUAUGUACAUUCAGCGCUCGGAAUCAAAUUAAGCCUCUUCAGGUGAGUGGGAGCGUGGCAAUGGCCAAAUCUCAGCCUAUUUAUUAUGGUUAUGAACUUCCUGUUAUCUAUAUUCUCAUUCCUCCGAUGGUACCAAGGUUUGGCGGGCGGGCUUCCUUGGAUCUUAGCAUACCAUUUUCCCUUUUCCAUACUAGUAAUAGUCCAGUACUCAUGCCAAAUCUUUUUCAGGUCUUGAUUGAUUGCGGCUUGAUAGUCAGUGUGAGGUAACUUCAACAACGUAGAAUGGUCAACAUCAAAGCCAUCCCUUGCAGCCAGAUCAACAAUUUCAUUCCCCCUGAUGCCACGGUGUGAUGGUACCCAAAGGAAGAGCAGUGUCUUACCAACUACCCCGGGUACUCCAAUAUCACAUAAGAUGGCUAUUAAAAUUGAGGGGACCACGUUAUCGAACGCGCCCUGUACAUCAAGGAAGACACAAGCUGUAGCAGAGUGACCGUCAAGAGAAUUCCUAAGGUCUGAGACCAAUGCUGUAAAACUUUCUGCUGCACUUCGGCCUUUUCUAAAUCCGAAUUGUUCAUUUGGAGGAGAUACAGGGGAAUAUUUCUCAAAAAAAGAGGGAAUCCAUUCAUCAUUCUUCGGCAGUUUAGGAAUUGAAACACGCUUAAACCUCUUCAUAUAGUUCCAUACUGUACUAACAGGAGUAUAUCGAUUAAAAGAUUCACAUAAAGAUUU
Molecule: long non-coding RNA, 1093 nt
Organism: Ostrinia nubilalis (European corn borer)
Lineage: Eukaryota; Metazoa; Arthropoda; Insecta; Lepidoptera; Crambidae
Exons: 3
Source: RefSeq, a predicted model, not a curated record